This is a long non-coding RNA of Orcinus orca (killer whale), 2176 nucleotides long. RefSeq lists it as uncharacterized. The transcript has 3 exons. Lineage: Eukaryota; Metazoa; Chordata; Mammalia; Artiodactyla; Delphinidae. The record is from RefSeq and is a predicted model, not a curated record.
UUAUUACUUUUCCCUAGAACCUGUAUCCCCAGCAAUAAAAUGUUAAAAUAAGAACUUUGUUCUUAGAAAUACUGAUUACUUACGAUCUCUUUAGUACUCUUCAUAUGACUAAAACCAGAAUUAAAUCGAUGACUUCAAUGUGAUGAUGACUUCAAUUUCUCUGACUCAACUCGAUCGCUUCCUGUGCCCAAAGUUUAACUUCUUGCACCAACUGUCAGAUCUGUAGAAGUUCAGCAGCAAGAGAGACUGGGAUUAAGACUGUAGGAAAGGCUCGUGAAGGAGAUGGGCCUUGACCCAGGCCUUAGAAACAUAGAAGGAUUGGGAACUAACCUCAGAGAAGAGGGACUCUACAGAUAAGGAAAGCAGCUUGAGAGAAAAUACCAAAGUAUAAUGAUAAAGCAUGUGACUCACAGAGCUACUUCCCUGAGAGCAGCAGAGGUAUCUCUGGCAAACAGCUGCAACAAGCCUGAAUAAGAGGAGAAGGAUCUGAAAGCCAGACGUAAAAACUGAGACUUCCCAAAAUGAAAUGAAUUCCGGGUCCUAGUCAUCAAAUCAGAUGAAACAUUUAAAUGGACUUUUCGGUAAAUCUUUUCUGGGGGUAACUUCAGAUACCGAAAUCGACCUGGCAGGAUGAAGAGAAGCUUCUUACUCCUUUCCACAGAGAAUGCUUAGCAGACAUCAGAUGGUGAGGGACAUGAUAGAAAUGGCCAGCGAAAUGGCAACCAACACUGGCCAGGACAGGUAACAAUGAUGCUAUAACUCCAGUUACAUGAACUAUAACUCCAGGGACCAGUCCUCAAAUUCAAUGCCCAAAUAGGGUAAAUCUGUACCCAUUUGUCAAACUCAGGGUGUCACCUGACCAAAUCUAGUCAGAGGUAAGGUGUAGCACAUAUUUCUUUGGUUGACCACAGUAUAAUAUCCUGGAUCCAAAUGAACUUUCUUUGCACAGUAUUUAUUAUUCUAAUAAACCAAAUGGAAUGUUUAGAGAUGACUGGAGCAAUCUGAUUGGCAAACUUACAGGGCAUUAAUUCUUCCAAUGUGACCUGGUGCAUAAAAAGUGAAACUAUAGCACUCAUGUAAACAAUCCAUCUGCCUUAUUUCCCUCCCCCAGGCACCUCAAAUUUUCAGCUUAUGUUAGCUGUAAGACGAGCUAAUGUUUUUAGUGUAGAAAAAUGGCAUUAUCCCAAACAGAACUUACUUUAAGAAAAAGAGGAAAAAUUCUAUAGCCAUACAGAUUGUAUCAGUAGGUACCCAUGACCAAUGACUAAGAUGAAUCACUAUCACAUUUCAGCAGAUAGGUGAGACCAUGGCAUGAGCAUCUCAGAAACUAAAUACUAACUUAUUCCAGGCAUCAAAAGUUCCACUUUAAGUGGAAAACUGUGUGAUAACUUUUGCCCCUUAAAUAUGUACACUUUUGAACUGAUCCCAAAGAAAUGACUGCAAAUCAAUAAUACAGUCUAAUUGUCUCAUUCUUUCAAAACAGGUCCCUCCCUUCGGGUACUUUGAAAAUUAAAAGUGAAUGAUUGUCUUAUGAGGCAAACAAUUUAUCAAAGGAGUUGGAUAAGUCAAAUAUGAAAGCAGGACUUGGAUUUACGGGGCCAGAACCAAGAGACAGAGGCUCUUUCCAGGGGUCAAACAAACCAGAAAAAGAACAGAACACUGCAGCAUUCAUUGGAAUAGUGAAAAAUUAGGAGCCAUCUAAAUGUCCAUCGAUAACAAAUGGGUUAAAAACAUACAUAAUAUGUAUGCAUAUAUCAAAUGACUUCAUAAGCAGCUGUUAUAAAAGAAUGAAGUACAUUUUUCUGCAGCUUUUACAUAAAAGGAAACAAGUUGCAAAACAGGCUUCCCUGGUGGCACAGUGGUUAAGAAUCUGCCUGCCGGUGCAGGGGACACAGGUUCAAGCCCUGGUCCAGGAAGAUCCCACAUGCUGCAGAGCAACUAAGCCCGUGCGCCACAACUACUGAUCCUGUGCUCUAGAGCCCGCGAGCCACAAGUACUGAGCCCGCAUGCCACAACUACUGAAGCCCGCGCGCCUAGAACCCGUGCUCCACAACAAGAGAAGCCACCACAAUGAGAAGCCCACGAAGCCCAUGCACCACAGCGAAGAGUAGCCCCUGCUCGCAGCAACUAGAGAAAGCCCGCACACAGCAACGAAGACCCAAUGCAGCCAAAAAUA